Molecule: long non-coding RNA, 241 nt
Organism: Etheostoma cragini (Arkansas darter)
Lineage: Eukaryota; Metazoa; Chordata; Actinopteri; Perciformes; Percidae
Exons: 2
Source: RefSeq, a predicted model, not a curated record
UAAGGCCUCCUGCACCCUGCCGGCGUGGCGUUUCUGUGUCUUUGCACACCAGAAACAUGUCUGACGCUGCGCUGCUGUUGCUGACCUUGUCUGUACACAUGUAUGUUUCCCAUUGAUAAAUUAGUAUACUUCAUGUUAUACAUAAAUCUAUCCUGAUUUGAUAACAGCAAAGACAACGUCGGCAGUGUUGGCGGCAAAAUAGGCUACAGAAUAUGUCCUUCUGUAUGACAAGUCUAAUAUU